GCCCCGGUGGUGGAAUGGUAGACACGCCGGACUUAAAAUCCUGUGACCUUCGGGUCGUGCGGGUUCAAGUCCCGCCCGGGGUAC
Molecule: transfer RNA, 84 nt
Filed under: bioreactor metagenome
Description: tRNA-Leu
Rfam family: tRNA
About the family: Transfer RNA (tRNA) molecules are approximately 80 nucleotides in length. Their secondary structure includes four short double-helical elements and three loops (D, anti-codon, and T loops).
Source: RNAcentral